UACGGGGGGGGUAAGCGUUGUUCGGAAUCACUGGGCGUAAAGGGUGCGUAGGCGGGUCUUUAAGUCAGGGGUGAAAUCCUGGAGCUCAACUCCAGAACUGCCUUUGAUACUGAGGAUCUUGAGCUCGGGAGAGGUGAGUGGAACUGCGAGUGUAGAGGUGAAAUUCGUAGAUAUUCGCAAGAGCACCAGUGGCGAAGGCGGCUCACUGGCCCGAUACUGACGCUGAGGCACGAAAGCGUGGGGAGCAAACAGG
Molecule: ribosomal RNA, 253 nt
Filed under: uncultured bacterium
Lineage: Bacteria
Description: partial 16S ribosomal RNA
Rfam family: Bacterial small subunit ribosomal RNA
Source: RNAcentral